AACGAACGCUGGCGGCAGGCCUAACACAUGCAAGUCGAACGCUGUAGCAAUACAGAGUGGCAGACGGGUGAGUAACGCGUGGGAACCUUCCCAGUGGUACGGAAUAGCUCAGGGAAACUUGAGGUAAUACCGUAUAAGCCCCUUGGGGGAAAGAUUUAUCGCCAUUGGAUGGGCCCGCGUCGGAUUAGCUAGUUGGUGAGGUAAUGGCUCACCAAGGCGACGAUCCGUAGCUGGUUUGAGAGAAUGACCAGCCACACUGGGACUGAGACACGGCCCAGACUCCUACGGGAGGCAGCAGUGGGGAAUAUUGGACAAUGGGCGCAAGCCUGACCCAGCCAUGCCGCGUGAGUGACGAAGGCCUUAGGGUUGUAAAGCUCUUUUAGCAGGGACGAUAAUGACGGUACCUGCAGAAUAAGCUCCGGCUAACUUCGUGCCAGCAGCCGCAGUAA
Molecule: ribosomal RNA, 449 nt
Filed under: uncultured bacterium
Lineage: Bacteria
Description: partial 16S ribosomal RNA
Rfam family: Bacterial small subunit ribosomal RNA
Source: RNAcentral